RNAcentral lists this ribosomal RNA (532 nucleotides) under Cryptosporidium xiaoi. RNAcentral describes it as "SSU rRNA". It matches the Rfam family "Eukaryotic small subunit ribosomal RNA", at positions 151 to 706 of the family's 1831-position model. The record is from RNAcentral. Lineage: Eukaryota; Apicomplexa; Conoidasida; Eucoccidiorida; Cryptosporidiidae.
GGUAAUUCUAGAGCUAAUACAUGCGAAAAAACCCGACUUCUCGGAAGGGUUGUAUUUAUUAGAUAAAGAACCAAUAUUUUUGGUGACUCAUAAUAACUUUACGGAUCACAUUAUGUGACAUAUCAUUCAAGUUUCUGACCUAUCAGCUUUAGACGGUAGGGUAUUGGCCUACCGUGGCUAUGACGGGUAACGGGGAAUUAGGGUUCGAUUCCGGAGAGGGAGCCUGAGAAACGGCUACCACAUCUAAGGAAGGCAGCAGGCGCGCAAAUUACCCAAUCCUAAUACAGGGAGGUAGUGACAAGAAAUAACAAUACAGAACCUUACGGUUUUGUAAUUGGAAUGAGUUAAGUAUAAACCCCUUAACAAGUAUCAAUUGGAGGGCAAGUCUGGUGCCAGCAGCCGCGGUAAUUCCAGCUCCAAUAGCGUAUAUUAAAGUUGUUGCAGUUAAAAAGCUCGUAGUUAAUCUUCUGUUAAUUUUUAUAUACAAUAUCACGAUAUUUAUAUAAUAUUAACAUAAUUCAUAUUACUUUUU